CUUUGCAGGAGUCCAUUACCGAUCUUCUGGACCUGGCAGCCAAAGACUGAUGAGGCCCUAGUUCCUCAGCCCCCCAUCUCAACCAUAAUCAUCACUAUGAAGGAGCCCAGGGUAAUGAGUACAUUAGCUGAAAGUUAAAUUCCAGCCAACACAGAGUCACACACCAUGCUCAGACGGGACAUGUGCUUCCAGAUGGAAUCCCUUGGCAUUCACAAGUACAAUUGAUGGUCCUUUUAAUAAGAUGAUGCUAUACAGCAGUCCCUUCUGCAUGAAAUAACGACUUCGGCUAAGCCUGAGCACCAAACAUAGUCACAAUUGGGCUUGUUGACGGUUGUGCUCAUUCAUUAAAGGAGUGCCAAGCAGGGUCGCUGGACCCUCA
Long non-coding RNA from Nannospalax galili (Upper Galilee mountains blind mole rat), 379 nucleotides. RefSeq lists it as uncharacterized. The transcript is spliced from 3 exons. The record is from RefSeq and is a predicted model, not a curated record. Lineage: Eukaryota; Metazoa; Chordata; Mammalia; Rodentia; Spalacidae.